Long non-coding RNA from Gordionus sp. m RMFG-2023, 2699 nucleotides. RefSeq lists it as uncharacterized. The transcript is spliced from 3 exons. Lineage: Eukaryota; Metazoa; Nematomorpha; Gordioida; Chordodea; Parachordodidae. The record is from RefSeq and is a predicted model, not a curated record.
UAUCCGAAAGGGUAAGUUUCAUUCAUAUUUGUUAAAUUACAACUGGAUACAAGGUUUGUUGGUAUCCUUGAGAAAUAAAUCGGCAGUUCGCUCAUUUUGGGCAGGUCUAUGACCAACGUGCUAGAUAAGAUAAGAUAUAAGAUAAAUACACAUAUUCAGGAUAAAUACAAAGGUAAAUUAAUCCACAUGCAACAAUAUUACCCAAGCAACUUGAAAAUCAUGAUUCUCAAAAAAUAUAAUUAAUAUUUUAAAUGAUACCCUUCAACCAUCUAACCAAUUCUAAUAUUCAGCAAACAAGGAUAUCAAAAAAGAAAUAUUCUUUUAGUCAUGGAGAAUUUACAAAAAAUUAAUUUAUCAGCAGAUUUAUUAUUCUUAUAUUUAUGAUUAAUAAUUUGACAUAAUCACCUAGAACUUUUCAAAAUAAUUUGUAAAAAUGUGAAUUUUUAAUGUGGCAAGAUAAACUUUUAAGCAUUUCAAAAUAUAAAUUUCAUAUCAACAGGCACAAAUAAGCUAAAAAGGCAUAAAUGUGUAUUUACAAUAAAGAGUAAAAAGACUCAAUUAACAAUUGAUAGCCUUUUUGGUACUGAUCCCAAAAAACUCAAAAGUUAUGCCAAAUUAUGCUCAUGUUUUGUGGACGUGAUUUGAGAUCAUUUGAUGCAAUUCAUGGGGAUGGCUUUGUUGAUUGUUGCCAAUAUUUUGGAAAAAUUGACUCAAUAUAUGGAAAUAUUAAUAUUAAAAGCAUCAUUCCAAAUCCCACGACAAUAUCUUGAAAUUUAAUAUACUACUGAUGGUAUACAAAAUUUCCGAAAUCAAACGCAUAUAUGAAAAAGGGUCGAUGUGCUAAUAACAAAUAUGAAAAUAUGGAAUUAUUUAUAAUUUUUAGAUUCGAUUGUAUUUUAACUUUUUUUAUAAUAUUUCUUACAAAUUAAAUAAAAUGCAACUUAAUAUAUAUCUUGAUUAGAUUAUAGCCAUCAAAUAAACUUUAAUUUAAGGUGGCGAUGAAUAAAUUCACAUAAAUUUUAUUUGGUUACUAUAAUAUUCAAAUUGUCGAAUUUUGCCUAGGUGUUGAAUUAAAAAGUGUGUGCUCGGGCUGUAAAAAAACGCAGACAUCUAGUUACAGUGACCUCAUGGUGGUUCAAGCGAUAACGGAUUGUUCAAGAAUAUUUCAAAGUUUAACCGUAUCAGGUCAAUUCAGCGAAACUUUUAUCGCGAAUGUCGUUUAUCGCGAAGGAAUUUUAUAGCGAAGGUAAUAUAGCGAAACCAAUUCCGCGAAUUUUUUUCCGCGAACAUUUAUAGCGAAGAAUAUCGCGAACUUAUUAUCGCGAAUUUAUUUCCGCGAAUACUUUAUAGCGAAUACAUUUUAGCAAAACUUUGAUCGCGAACUCGUUAUAGCGAAUUUAUUUCCGCGAAACCUUAACCGCGAAUACUUUAUAGCGAAUACAUUUUAGCAAAACUUUUAUCGCGAACUCUUUAUAGCGAAUUUAUUUUCGCGAAACUUUAACCGCGAAUACUUUAUAGCGAAUACAUUUUGGCGAAACUUUGAUCGCGAACUCAUUAUCACGAAUUUAUUUCCGCGAAACCUAAACCGCGAAUACAUUUUAGCGAAACUUUGAUCGCGAACUCGUUAUAGCGAAACUUUAAUCCUGAACCAUUUAUAGCGAGUUUUCUACCGCGAAUGUAUUUGCCCGAAAUUAUUAUAGCGACCGUAUGACCGCGAAAAUUGUGAAUUCAUUUUAAGUGAAAUUAAUAUAUUCAAUAUGAAUUUACCAACCGAAGUUUCUUAUAUCAUAAACGCGAAUGUUUUAAGAAUAUUUUAUUAUGUAUUGUUUAUUUAAUAAGCAUGUAACUAGUGUUGCGUAAUCGGCUAAAAACUAAGCCUAAAAAUCGCCUAAGCCUAAUUAGGUAAGCCUAAAAAUCGGCUAAGGCCGCAUUCAUAGUGGAAUCCGAUCCGACACGAUUUAACAGCUGAUCAAUUUUUAAAUCGGUUUAUGAGAAUCAAUUUUUCUUUAUUAAAACCAAUAUUUCUUAGGUUAUUAUCAUGUAUAAAAUUAAAGAUAAAAUUAAUAUUAUUAAAAAUAAAUUAAUCUCAUAAACAGAUUUUAAAAAUCAAUCAGCUGUUAAAUCGUGUCGGAUCGGAUCCUACUAUGAAUGCUGCCUCCCCAACUGUACCUCUAACUCUGGCAGAAAAGUAUGAUAAAAUGCGUAAAGUAUGGGCGGGACUCCAACAAGAUCUCCUCGAGCCAAAAUGCAAAGCCAGUGUCCGGGACCGUCAUGAGAUUAAGCACGAGCCAAAAUGCAAAGCCAGUGUCCGGGACCGUCAUGAGAUUAAGCACAUAGCCAAUGUGCUGGAAAUCAUUAACGAAGCCUCCGACACCAGACUCAUGGAGGAGAUGACUAAGCGAAUACGUGUCCUAGCGCUAGCCAUUCACUGGAACUGGCAGACAGCUAUAAACAACGACGCGUCCUAUCAAGAAAAGUUCCUUGGGGGCGAAGAAAUAAAAGUCUACCGCGAAAGCCGGCCCUUUCGACAGGGGCUAAGGCCCAUCUACCUCGGGCACCUACAGGAGACCAGAGAGGAAGGAACCGGCCUCCGCCAGGGGCAAGAAAAGGAAGUAGUCUCGCCCCAAAUAUCAAUAAUCCUUCGUUUCUUCUUCCUCCUCUACCUACUAAUUCUAAUUCUCCUUCUACUUCCUCAAAUG